This 925-nucleotide long non-coding RNA is filed under the name Homo sapiens (human). RNAcentral describes it as "HSALNT0380405". The record is from RNAcentral. Lineage: Eukaryota; Metazoa; Chordata; Mammalia; Primates; Hominidae.
CUCUUACGAAGAAACCGUUCUACGGAAGCCCAGUUGAGACAACUUGAGACAGGAUUCAGAAACGCUGAUUUUAGUAACCUUAACCCUCGGCCUUUGGUGGGAACUUCGGCUCUGUGGGAAUUAGUCUUUGGGGGACUGAUGGUGAUGCUGAAAUCUUAUUGCGUAGGAAAUUAAGUACAACAAAGAAGACCCGUCGUGAGAGGAGAGUGCGGAAGAAAUGCGAAGUCUACGGGAGGUGGCAGCUGCAGAAGCUUGGUGUUGGAUUUGGAGUUAGGAGACCGGGAGGAGCCCAGCUUCCGGUCCAGACGGUUAUCUUGUUGACUUGCACGACUGCAAACGCCCUGAGCUGCUUUUGCAGUCUGAAACAUCAGCGAUCCCAUCAAAAUAUUCUGUUUCUUGGGAUAUAAGAAACAUCCCAAGGCGGGCUGUAGAGCGAGAGAUUUGGACUCGAUUUAAAUACAGACAAAAUAGUAUGCAUUUACUAACACCACAUCUCACCCCCACGAAACUUGGUAAGGGCAGCAACAGAACUUUAUCUGCCAUAUGCACUCCUGUAUUCCUAUUACCAAAUAGUGCCAGGGACUAAGUGAAUAUUUGCCCAAUGAAUGAGUUUUAAGUAGGAAACGUUUGCAUAGAAUCAUUUUGUUUCUUUUGGAGUUCAAAUCUUCGGAUAUUUUACCCUUCCCAAUCCAAAGAAAAGUCUCUGAGUGAAGAGAUGGGAACAAAAUGUAAGUUAAAUAUGUUGCUUUAACAACUGUUUAUUGAACUCGUGCUAUAUACUGUAGAAUGAUGAGCAAAACCAGGCACAGUUUCGGCCCUGGAAGAGGAAAGGCAGGCAUAUAUUUAUCAACCAAGCCCAGCACAACAAUGGCACACAGCAGUUGCUGCCCAAGCCUGGGUGCUCCUGGUGGUCCUGCACGAUCGG